RNAcentral lists this transfer RNA (93 nucleotides) under Erinaceus europaeus (western European hedgehog). It matches the Rfam family "tRNA". From Rfam's summary of the family: Transfer RNA (tRNA) molecules are approximately 80 nucleotides in length. Lineage: Eukaryota; Metazoa; Chordata; Mammalia; Eulipotyphla; Erinaceidae. The record is from Rfam by way of RNAcentral.
CCUUCGAUAGCUCAGUUGGUAGAGCGGAGGACUGUAGGAGUAAGGUGUAAUCUGGACAUCCUUAGGUCGCUGGUUCGAAUCCGGCUCGAAGGA